RNAcentral lists this unclassified non-coding RNA (212 nucleotides) under Hevea brasiliensis (rubber tree). The record is from RNAcentral. Lineage: Eukaryota; Viridiplantae; Streptophyta; Magnoliopsida; Malpighiales; Euphorbiaceae.
AUUUUCUAUUAUUAGAAAAAUAUAAAUCAAUAAAUUCACUCGAUUUCUUAUGGAUGUGAGAAGUGCAAUUGAGUUCACUAAUUGACUAGUAAGUGAGAAAGGCAGCAUCAUCCUGCUAAACCUGCAGGGAAAUACAUGUUCUCGUAGUAGGACAAAGAUGAUUCAGCACAGUGCAGAAGAAAAAGAUGAUACAUUAGCUAACACACUUAAAG